This 488-nucleotide ribosomal RNA is filed under the name uncultured Diversispora. Its description in RNAcentral is "SSU rRNA". It matches the Rfam family "Eukaryotic small subunit ribosomal RNA", at positions 569 to 1060 of the family's 1831-position model. The record is from RNAcentral. Lineage: Eukaryota; Fungi; Glomeromycota; Glomeromycetes; Diversisporales; Diversisporaceae.
AGCAGCCGCGGUAAUUCCAGCUCCAAUAGCGUAUAUUAAAGUUGUUGCAGUUAAAAAGCUCGUAGUUGAACUUCGGGGUCUACCCAUUGGUCAGGCUUAAUUGUCUGCACUGGUGAGAUGGAUCUCUACCUUCUGAGGAACUUUCAUGCCAUUUAUUUGGUGUGGUUGGAAAUCAGGACUGUUACUUUGAAAAAAUUAGAGUGUUUAAAGCAGACUAUCGUCUGAAUACAUUAGCAUGGAAUAAUGAAAUAGGACGGACUGAUUCUAUUUCGUUGGUUUCUAGGAUCACCGUAAUGAUUAAUAGGGAUAGUUGGGGGCAUUAGUAUUCAAUUGUCAGAGGUGAAAUUCUGGAUUUAUUGAAGACUAACUACUGCGAAAGCAUUUGCCAAGGAUGUUUUCAUUAAUCAAGAACGAAAGUUAGGGGAUCGAAGACGAUCAGAUACCGUCGUAGUCUUAACCAUAAACUAUGCCGACUAGGGAUCGGACGA